Molecule: transfer RNA, 71 nt
Filed under: Loxodonta africana (African savanna elephant)
Lineage: Eukaryota; Metazoa; Chordata; Mammalia; Proboscidea; Elephantidae
Rfam family: tRNA
About the family: Transfer RNA (tRNA) molecules are approximately 80 nucleotides in length. Their secondary structure includes four short double-helical elements and three loops (D, anti-codon, and T loops).
Source: Rfam by way of RNAcentral
GCUUUGGUGGUUCAGUGGUAGAUUUCUUGCUUUCCAGGCAGGAGACACAGGUUCAAUUUCUGCUCAAUGCU